RNAcentral lists this transfer RNA (69 nucleotides) under Urocitellus parryii (Arctic ground squirrel). RNAcentral's name for it is "Spermophilus parryii (Arctic ground squirrel) tRNA". It matches the Rfam family "tRNA". From Rfam's summary of the family: Transfer RNA (tRNA) molecules are approximately 80 nucleotides in length. Their secondary structure includes four short double-helical elements and three loops (D, anti-codon, and T loops). The record is from Rfam by way of RNAcentral. RNAcentral also lists the same sequence under 1 other name. Lineage: Eukaryota; Metazoa; Chordata; Mammalia; Rodentia; Sciuridae.
GGAGUUGUAGCUCAGUGGUAGAGCACUUGCCUUGCAUGCGUGAGGCCCUGGGUUCCAUCCCCAGCACCA